UACAGAGGGUGCAAGCGUUGUUCGGAAUUACUGGGCGUAAAGCGCGUGUAGGCGGCGGCGUUAGUCGGAUGUGAAAUCCCUCAGCUCAACUGAGGAAGUGCAGUCGAUACUGCGUCGCUUGAAUGUCGGAGGGGAUGGCGGAAUUCCCGGUGUAGAGGUGAAAUUCGUAGAUAUCGGGAGGAACACCUGUGGCGAAGGCGGCCAUCUGGACGACGAUUGACGCUGAGACGCGAAAGCGUGGGUAGCAAACAGG
Molecule: ribosomal RNA, 253 nt
Filed under: uncultured bacterium
Lineage: Bacteria
Description: partial 16S ribosomal RNA
Rfam family: Bacterial small subunit ribosomal RNA
Source: RNAcentral